GACGAACGCUGGCGGCGUGCUUAACACAUGCAAGUCGAACGCUGAAGCUCGGUGCUUGCACUGGGUGGAUGAGUGGCGAACGGGUGGGUAAUACGUGAGUAACCUGCCCUUGACUCUGGGAUAAGCCUGGGAAACUAGGUCUAAUACUGGAUACGACAUGUCACCGCAUGGUGGUGUGUGGAAAGGGUUUUACUGGUUUUGGAUGGGCUCACGGCCUAUCAGCUUGUUGGUGGGGUAAUGGCUCACCAAGGCGACGACGGGUAGCCGGCCUGAGAGGGUGACCGGCCACACUGGGACUGAGACACGGCCCAGACUCCUACGGGAGGCAGCAGUGGGGAAUAUUGCACAAUGGGCGGAAGCCUGAUGCAGCGACGCCGCGUGAGGGAUGACGGCCUUCGGGUUGUAAACCUCUUUCAGCACGGAAGAAGCGAAAGUGACGGUACGUGCAGAAGAAGCGCCGGCUAACUACGUG
This 472-nucleotide ribosomal RNA is filed under the name uncultured bacterium. RNAcentral's name for it is "partial 16S ribosomal RNA". It matches the Rfam family "Bacterial small subunit ribosomal RNA", at positions 28 to 507 of the family's 1533-position model. The record is from RNAcentral.